Long non-coding RNA from Daucus carota subsp. sativus, 546 nucleotides. RefSeq lists it as uncharacterized. The record is from RefSeq and is a predicted model, not a curated record. The transcript has 3 exons. NCBI's taxonomy places the organism in Eukaryota, Viridiplantae, Streptophyta, Magnoliopsida, Apiales, Apiaceae.
CCAAGAAGGACGGGUAAACAAGAAUCCCAAAGUUAAAAACGUUCUAGGCUGCCCUAAACAACCAGGCGGUACAGAAUGUGGAUAUGUGGUCAUGCGUUAUAUGAAAGAUUUAGUUGCGGACGAGGAGAUGAAGCUGCUAGACAAGUGGGCUUUAAAGAGUCGCAAGACUUAUACAAGGGAGGAGCUUGACGUCGUUCGCUAUGAGACGCUUGAUUAUAUCCAAUCCAUCAUGUAGCUGCUUGUGACCGGUAGUACUUGUCUUGCAAUCUAAAAACAGCUCUAUAUAUUUCGCUUGAAUGUUUUCGGAUAUCGUAGCUAGCUAGCUAGUACAGUUAGAACUUAAAAAUCAUGGAUGAAUUAAUGUCAAGUAGUAGUAGUAGUUGAUGUUUGAUGGUUUAGUAUACUGUUGGGAUAUAUUGGUGUUAUUGAUUUUUGGAUGCUAUGGUGGAUGUUAAUUUGGAUGCUGGUGGAUGUUUGGAUGUGUAGUAGAAGUUGGUUAGGAGAAUGACAAUUGGUAUAUAUAUUUGGAGAUUGUUUGGAUGUUAA